RNAcentral lists this ribosomal RNA (95 nucleotides) under uncultured bacterium. RNAcentral's name for it is "partial 16S ribosomal RNA". It matches the Rfam family "Bacterial small subunit ribosomal RNA", at positions 1390 to 1482 of the family's 1533-position model. The record is from RNAcentral.
CCGCCCGUCACAUCACGAAAGUUGUCUGUACCGGAAGCCGGUGGGCUAACUCGCAAGAGAGGCAGCCGUCCAUGGUAUGGAGAGCGAUUGGGGUG